UGGGUUGUCGUGGGGUCACGAGGUGUUUGUGGGGUGCCCAUAUAGGGUGUCCUUGGGGUCCUGGGGUGCCCAUAGGGUAUCCACAGGGCACGUGUGGGGUGUCUGUGGGGCAUGUGUGGGGUCAGAGGGUGUCUGUGGGGUGCCCACAGUGGGGUGGCCACGUUGGUGUGGGGUGUCCGUGUUGUUAUAGGGUGGCCGUGUCCCUGUGGGAUGUCCGUGUUGGUGUAGGGUGGCCACGAUGCUAUAGGAUCUCCACGUUGUGGGAUCUCCUUGAUUUUAUAGGAUCUCCAUGAUGUUAUGGGAUAUCCACGAUGUUAUGGGGUGUCUGAGUUGUUAUGGGAUGCCCACGUUCCUGGGGGAUGUCCAUGCUGUUGUAGGAUCCCCAUGUUCCUGUGGGAUGAGUGUGGGACGUCCCCGUUCGGUGGCCAUCCCCGUCGUCCCAGUCCAUCCCAGUCUGUGGUGUCGCUGUGGGGUUGGGACGGGGGCGGGCGCUGCCCCGUGCCAGCCCCCUGUAGGGUCACGGCUGGGCUGGGAUAACGGGAUUGGGAUCAGCGCUGGGAUAACGGGACUGGGACCAGCACUGGGAUAAGCCGCCCCCGCUGGGACCCCAUGGCCUGCAGCCACACGGCCCCCCCCCGGCACCCCAAUACCCAGCCCUGCCGCCCCGUGCCGAGGGUGCACGCUUUUGGGAAGGGGGGGCAGGCCGUGCGCAGGGACCCCCGCGCCCCCCCGGCCAUGAGGGGCUGGCUGCACAAACAGGUGGGGCUGGGG
Molecule: non-coding RNA, 771 nt
Organism: Anas platyrhynchos (mallard)
Lineage: Eukaryota; Metazoa; Chordata; Aves; Anseriformes; Anatidae
Source: RefSeq, a predicted model, not a curated record